This 72-nucleotide transfer RNA is filed under the name Marmota marmota marmota (Alpine marmot). It matches the Rfam family "tRNA". Rfam says of the family: Transfer RNA (tRNA) molecules are approximately 80 nucleotides in length. The record is from Rfam by way of RNAcentral. RNAcentral also lists the same sequence under 1 other name. Lineage: Eukaryota; Metazoa; Chordata; Mammalia; Rodentia; Sciuridae.
UGGGGUGGGGCUCAGUGGUAGAGCACUUGCUUCGCAUGUACAAGACCCUGGGUUCUAUCCUCAGCACCACAU